UACAGAGGGUGCAAGCGUUAAUCGGAAUUACUGGGCGUAAAGCGCGCGUAGGUGGUUCGGUAAGUUGAAUGUGAAAUCCCCGGGCUCAACCUGGGAACUGCAUCCAAAACUGCCGAGCUAGAGUAUGGUAGAGGGUGGUGGAAUUUCCUGUGUAGCGGUGAAAUGCGUAGAUAUAGGAAGGAACACCAGUGGCGAAGGCGACCACCUGGACUGAUACUGACACUGAGGUGCGAAAGCGUGGGGAGCAAACAGG
This 253-nucleotide ribosomal RNA is filed under the name uncultured bacterium. Its description in RNAcentral is "partial 16S ribosomal RNA". It matches the Rfam family "Bacterial small subunit ribosomal RNA", at positions 524 to 776 of the family's 1533-position model. The record is from RNAcentral.